AGCCUGAACGCUGGCAGCGUGGUUAAGACAUGCAAGUCGAACGGAUGUAGCAAUACAUCAGUGGCGCACGGGUGAGUAAUGUAUCGCUAACGUGCCCCGAAGCCUGGGAUAGCUGCCCGAAAGGGCAGGUAAUACCAGAUAAGACCCCGGGAAGGCAUCUUCCUGUGCUCAAAGGCGUAAGUCACUUCGGGAGCGGGCGAUAUCGUAUCAGCUAGUUGGUGAGGUAACGGCCCACCAAGGUGACGACGCGUAGCCGGUCUGAGAGGACGGUCGGCCACAUCGGGACUGAGACACUGCCCGGACUCCUACGGGGGCUGCAGUAACGAAUCUUCCCCAAUGCACGAAAGUGUGAGGGAGCGACGCUGCGUGGAGGACGAAGUCCUUCGGGAUGUAAACUCCUGUCAGGGGAUACCAAGUUCUGAGGAUCCCCAGAGGAAGAGGCGGCUAACUCUGUGCCAGCAGCCG
RNAcentral lists this ribosomal RNA (465 nucleotides) under uncultured bacterium. Its description in RNAcentral is "SSU rRNA". It matches the Rfam family "Bacterial small subunit ribosomal RNA", at positions 26 to 517 of the family's 1533-position model. The record is from RNAcentral.